Pecten maximus is the source of this 9150-nucleotide long non-coding RNA. RefSeq lists it as uncharacterized. The record is from RefSeq and is a predicted model, not a curated record. The transcript has 2 exons. NCBI's taxonomy places the organism in Eukaryota, Metazoa, Mollusca, Bivalvia, Pectinida, Pectinidae.
CAAUGUGUCAAUAUCUUGAUCAGGUUUCUUCAGUGUCAAGAUCAGGUGUGUCAAUUUCAGAUCAGGUGUCAAUGUCCAGAUCACGUGUCAAUGUGUCAAUAUCUUGAUCAGGUUUCUUCAGUGUCAAGAUCAGGUGUGUCAAUGUCUAGAUCAGGUGUCAAUGUCCAGAUCAGGUGUGUCAAUGUCUUGAUCAGGUGUCAAUGUCCAGAUCAGGUGUCAAUAUCCAGAUCAUGUGUGUCAAUGUCAGAUCAGGUGUCAAUGUCAGAUCAGGUGUGUUAAUGUCCAGAUCAGGUGUGUCAAUGUCAGAUCAGGUGUCAAUGUCCAGAUCAGGUGUGUCAAUGUCAGAUCAGGUGUCAAUGUCCAGAUCAGGUGUGUCAAUGUCCAGAUCAGGUGUGUCAAUGUCCAGAUCAGGUGUGUCAAUGUCCAGAUCAGGUGUGUCAAUGUCUUGAUCAGGUGUCAAUGUCCAGAUCAGGUGUGUCAAUGUCCAGAUCAGGUGUCAAUGUCUAGAUCAGGUGUGUUAAUGUCCAGAUCAGGUGUGUCAAUGUCCAGAUCAGGUGUGUCAAUGUCCAGAUCAGGUGUCAAUGUCCAGAUCAGAUGUGUCAAUGUCCAGAUCAGGUGUGUCAAUGUCCAGAUCAGGUGUGUCAAUGUCCAGAUCAGGUGUGUCAAUGUCCAGAUCAGGUGUGUCAAUGUCCAGAUCAGGUGUGUCAAUGUCGAAACCUGUGGGUUUUUUUUAAGAUUAUACCCACUUGGUGGGGCAGGGUAUUACUGGUAUGCCCCACUAGGAAGUCGUCUGAGGCAUAUACUUCCAUCUGUUUGUCUGUCCACAAAUUCUGUUAGAAUUUAUUCAGAGUUUGCUAUUUAAUCUUUACCAUAAUGAUGCUGAUUUUAUUGCUGUGCAGUUGAAAUAGAUUUUUUUAACUUUGAGUUUGGUUUAAUUUUGAGUUUAGCUCCAUUUCUGUCAAAUUGGAAGCAAGGGUAUUCAUGUUUCACAUAUUUAAACAUCCUCUUGUUUCUCCUGUCAAAGUGGAAGCAAGGGUUUUCACCUAAACAUCAUCUAGUUUUAGUACCACAGGGUCUUGUCACAGAUUCCCAUUAGACUGUAUAUUUGUACUGUAUUAUGAUACAUAUGUAAUCUGGGUUAGGAACCAAGUCCCUGUGAUCAAUACCAAACAGCACAGACCAUAGUGAAUCUAACCUCCACACACUUCUACCUGGUGUACUGUUACCACAUGUUUGACAUACAUCUUGUGUGUUCGGGGACGCAUAAUUGAUAUAUAUCUCGGUGUUUGGGGACGCAUGUUUGACAUAUAUCUUGUGUGUUUGGGGACAAAUGCUGUUUACUUGCUUCAACUGUGAUAUUACUGUAACGCACAUCUCACAUUUUAAUGUCAUAGGUUUCUUUGCUGCUAAUGUCCCAAAUAUGUUGGUAACGUACAUAUUGUCAGUUUUGCUGACCAUCGGUCAUCUUCAGGACUCCAUUAUGUACUGUAGAGAAGUUGGUAGUCAUUACCUAUAUCACCUACUGUAGACUAAGUAUGUAUUAUGAUUUACCAUAAUGAUUCUUUCAUUCAAAGAAAGAAUGAAUCGUGUGUUUACCUACAUGGGCCCAGUUGUUCAAAACGUGAUUAGCUUAAUCACUUGAUUAGUUAAAAUCUCACUUCUCCUUCACUUUAAAACCUGUGUAGGUAUAUUCCUAAAAUAGACAAGUAGGGAGAGACUGACAAGUGCUAAGAGUUCCAUUAAAUUUUGUCAAGAAAGUUUUACCAGAAAUGAUUUUAUCUGGAUUUUUAAAUUGUUAUCAAACUGUGAUUAGCAUAAUCACCCUUUGAAUAAAUGGGCCAUGGUCUUUUUUCAUCACAUAAAAAUCCGUACAUUUUCAUGCUUAUGAUAUUCACCAAUUUUUCAUGUCAUCCAACCAUGUUGUUUAAAUGACAUCAUUGGCCCAUUAUUUAUAUAUACUUAUAGCUUGUCAUGGUGACAAUAUACUGGGCUGUUUUAGACUGUACAAAUGUCUGUAUUUAUUGUCAGGGUGACAAUAUACUGGGGUAUUUUGGACUAUACAAAUGUCUGUAUUAUUGUCACGGGUGACAAUAUACCGAGAUGUUUUGGACUAUACAAAUGUCUGUAUUUAUUGUCACGGUGACAAUAUACUGGGGUAUUUUGGACUAUACAAAUGUCUCUAUUUAUUGUCAGGGUGACAAUAUACUGGGCUGUUUUGGACUACAAAUGUCUAUUUAUUGUCAGGGUGACAAUAUACUGGGCUGUUUUAGACUAUACAAAUGUCUGUAUUUAUUGUCACGGUGACAAUAUACUGGGGUAUUUUGGACUAUACAAAUGUCUCUAUUUAUUGUCAGGGUGACAAUAUACUGGGCUGUUUUGGACUACAAAUGUCUAUUUAUUGUCAGGGUGACAAUAUACUGGGCUGUUUUAGACUAUACAAAUGUCUGUAUUUAUUGUCACGGUGACAAUAUACUGGGGUAUUUUGGACUAUACAAAUGUCUAUUUAUUGUCGGGGUGACAAUAAACUGGGGUGUUUUGGACUAUACAAAUGUCUAUUUAUUGUCAGGGUGACAAUAUACUGGGCUGUUUUGGACUAUACAAAUGUCUAUUUAUUGUCACGGUGACAAUAUACUGGGGUAUUUUGGACUAUACAAAUGUCUGUAUUUAUUGUCAGGGUGACAAUAUACUGGGCUGUUUUGGACUAUACAAAUGUCUAUUUAUUGUCACGGUGACAAUAUACUGGGGUAUUUUGGACUAUACAAAUGUCUGUAUUUAUUGUCAGGGUGACAAUAUACCGAGAUGUUUUGGACUAUACAAAUGUCUGUAUUUAUUGUCAGGGUGACAAUAUACUGGGCUGUUUUGGACUAUACAAAUGUCUAUUUAUUGUCACGGUGACAAUAUACUGGGGUAUUUUGGACUAUACAAAUGUUUGUAUUUAUUGUCAGGGUGACAAUAUACCGAGAUGUUUUGGACUAUACAAAUGUCUGUAUUUAUUGUCAGGGUGACAAUAUACUGGGGACUAUACAAAUGUCUAUUUAUUGUCAGGGUGACAAUAAACUGGGGUGUUUUGGACUAUACAAAUGUCUAUUUAUUGUCAGGGUGACAAUAAACUGGGGUAUUUUGGACUAUACAAAUGUCUAUUUAUUGUCACGGUGACAAUAUACCGAGAUGUUUUGGACUAUACAAAUGUCUAUUUAUUGUCAGGGUGACAAUAUACUGGGCUGUUUUGGACUAUACAAAUGUCUAUUUAUUGUCAGGGUGACAAUAUACUGGGAUGUUUUGGACUAUACAAAUGUCUAUUUAUUGUCAGGGUGACAAUAUACUGGGCUGUUUUAGACUAUACAAAUGUCUAUUUAUUGUCAGGGUGACAAUAUACCGAGAUGUUUUAGACUAUACAAAUGUCUGUAUUUAUUGUCAGGGUGACAAUAUACUGGGCUGUUUUGGACUAUACAAAUGUCUAUUUAUUGUCACGGUGACAAUAUACUGGGGUAUUUUAGACUAUACAAAUGUCUAUUUAUUGUCAGGGUGACAAUAUACUGGGCUGUUUUGGACUAUACAAAUGUCUGUAUUUAUUGUCAGGGUGACAAUAUACUGGGCUGUUUUGGACUAUACAAAUGUUUGUAUUUAUUGUCAGGGUGACAAUAUACUGGGCUGUUUUGGACUAUACAAAUGUCUGUAUUUAUUGUCAGGGUGACAAUAUACUGGGGUAUUUUAGACUAUACAAAUGUCUGUAUUUAUUGUCAGGGUGACAAUAUACUGGGGUGUUUUGGACUAUACAAAUGCCUGUAUUUAUUGUCAGGGUGACAAUAUACUGGGCUGUUUUAGACUAUACAAAUGUCUGUAUUUAUUGUCAGGGUGACAAUAUACUGGGGUAUUUUGGACUAUACAAAUGCCUGUAUUUAUUGUCAGGGUGACAAUAUACUGGGGUAUUUUGGACUAUACAAAUGCCUGUAUUUAUUGUCAGGGUGACAAUAUACUGGGGUAUUUUGGACUAUACAAAUGUCUGUAUUUAUUGUCAGGGUGACAAUAUACUGGGCUGUUUUAGACUAUACAAAUGUCUGUAUUUAUUGUCAGGGUGACAAUAUACUGGGGUAUUUGGACUAUACAAAUGUCUGUAUUUAUUGUCAGGGUGACAAUAUACUGGGGUAUUUUGGACUAUACAAAUGUUUGUAUUUAUUGUCAGGGUGACAAUAUACUGGGCUGUUUUAGACUAUACAAAUGUCUGUAUUUAUUGUCAGGGUGACAAUAUACUGGGCUGUUUUAGACUAUACAAAUGUCUGUAUUUAUUGUCACGGUGACAAUAUACCGAGAUGUUUUGGACUAUACAAAUGUCUAUUUAUUGUCAGGGUGACAAUAUACUGGGGUAUUUUGGACUAUACAAAUGUCUAUUUAUUGUCACGGUGACAAUAUACUGGGCUGUUUUAGACUAUACAAAUGUCUAUUUAUUGUCACGGUGACAAUAUACUGGGCUGUUUUAGACUAUACAAAUGUCUAUUUAUUGUCACGGUGACAAUAUACUGGGCUGUUUUAGACUAUACAAAUGUUUGUAUUUAUUGUCAGGGUGACAAUAUACUGGGCUGUUUUAGACUAUAUAAAUGUCUGUAUUUAUUGUCAGGGUGACAAUAUACUGGGCUGUUUUGGACUAUACAAAUGUUUGUAUUUAUUGUCAGGGUGACAAUAUACUGGGCUGUUUUGGACUAUACAAAUGUUUGUAUUUAUUGUCAGGGUGACAAUAUACUGGGCUGUUUUAGACUAUACAAAUGUCUGUAUUUAUUGUCAGGGUGACAAUAUACUGGGCUGUUUUAGACUAUAUAAAUGUCUGUAUUUAUUGUCAGGGUGACAAUAUACUGGGCUGUUUUGGACUAUACAAAUGUUUGUAUUUAUUGUCAGGGUGACAAUAUACUGGGCUGUUUUGGACUAUACAAAUGUUUGUAUUUAUUGUCAGGGUGACAAUAUACUGGGCUGUUUUAGACUAUACAAAUGUCUGUAUUUAUUGUCAGGGUGACAAUAUACUGGGGUGUUUUGGACUAUACAAAUGUCUGUAUUUAUUGUCAGGGUGACAAUAUACUGAGAUGUUUUGGACUAUACAAAUGUCUAUUUAUUGUCAGGGUGACAAUAUACUGGGAUGUUUUGGACUAUACAAAUGUCUAUUUAUUGUCAGGGUGACAAUAUACUGAGAUGUUUUGGACUAUACAAAUGUCUAUUUAUUGUCAGGGUGACAAUAUACCGAGAUGUUUUGGACUAUACAAAUGUCUGUAUUUAUUGUCACGGUGACAAUAUACUGGGGUAUUUUAGACUAUACAAAUGUCUGUAUUUAUUGUCACGGUGACAAUAUACUGGGUAUUUUAGACUAUACAAAUGUCUAUUUAUUGUCAGGGUGACAAUAUACUGGGCUGUUUUAGACUAUACAAAUGUCUCUAUUUAUUGUCAGGGUGACAAUAUACUGGGCUGUUUUAGACUAUACAAAUGUCUGUAUUUAUUGUCAGGGUGACAAUAUACUGGGCUGUUUGGACUAUACAAAUGUCUGUAUUUAUUGUCACGGUGACAAUAUACCGAGAUGUUUUAGACUAUACAAAUGUCUGUAUUUAUUGUCACGGUGACAAUAUACUGGGAUGUUUUGGACUAUACAAAUGUCUCUAUUUAUUGUCAGGGUGACAAUAUACUGGGGUAUUUUGGACUAUACAAAUGUCUGUAUUUAUUGUCAGGGUGACAAUAUACUGGGGUAUUUUGGACUAUACAAAUGUCUCUAUUUAUUGUCAGGGUGACAAUAUACUGGGGUAUUUUGGACUAUACAAAUGUCUCUAUUUAUUGUCACGGUGACAAUAUACUGGGGUAUUUUGGACUAUACAAAUGUCUGUAUUUAUUGUCAGGGUGACAAUAUACUGGGCUGUUUUGGACUGUACAAAUGUCUAUUUAUUGUCAGGGUGACAAUAUACUGGGCUGUUUUGGACUGUACAAAUGUCUAUUUAUUGUCAGGGUGACAAUAUACUGGGCUGUUUUGGACUAUACAAAUGUCUCUAUUUAUUGUCAGGGUGACAAUAUACUGGGGUAUUUUGGACUAUACAAAUGUCUGUAUUUAUUGUCACAUGGACAAUAUACCGAGAUGUUUUGGACUAUACAAAUGUCUGUAUUUAUUGUCAGGGUGACAAUAUACUGGGGUAUUUUGGACUAUACAAAUGUCUGUAUUUAUUGUCACGGUGACAAUAUACUGGGGUAUUUUGGACUAUACAAAUGUCUGUAUUUAUUGUCACGGUGACAAUAUACUGGGGUAUUUUGGACUAUACAAAUGUCUGUAUUUAUUGUCACGGUGACAAUAUACUGGGGUAUUUUGGACUAUACAAAUGUCUGUAUUUAUUGUCAGGGUGACAAUAUACUGGGGUAUUUUGGACUAUACAAAUGUCUGUAUUUAUUGUCAGGGUGACAAUAUACUGGGCUGUUUUAGACUAUACAAAUGUCUAUUUAUUGUCAGGGUGACAAUAUACUGGGGUAUUUUAGACUAUACAAAUGUCUAUUUAUUGUCAGGGUGACAAUAUACUGGGGUAUUUUAGACUAUACAAAUGUCUAUUUAUUGUCAGGGUGACAAUAUACUGGGGUAUUUUAGACUAUACAAAUGUCUAUUUAUUGUCAGGGUGACAAUAUACUGGGGUAUUUUAGACUAUACAAAUGUCUAUUUAUUGUCAGGGUGACAAUAUACUGGGGUAUUUUAGACUAUACAAAUGUCUAUUUAUUGUCAGGGUGACAAUAUACUGGGCUGUUUUAGACUAUACAAAUGUCUGUAUUUAUUGUCAGGGUGACAAUAUACCGAGAUGUUUUGGACUAUACAAAUGUCUGUAUUUAUUGUCAGGGUGACAAUAUACUGGGGUAUUUUGGACUAUACAAAUGUCUAUUUAUUGUCACGGUGACAAUAUACUGGGAUGUUUUGGACUAUACAAAUGUCUGUAUUUAUUGUCACGGUGACAAUAUACUGGGGUAUUUUGGACUAUACAAAUGUCUGUAUUUAUUGUCAGGGUGACAAUAUACUGGGGUAUUUGGACUAUACAAAUGUCUGUAUUUAUUGUCACGGUGACAAUAUACUGGGCUGUUUUAGACUAUACAAAUGUCUGUAUCUAUUGUCAGGGUGACAAUAUACUGGGGUAUUUGGACUAUACAAAUGUCUGUAUUUAUUGUCACGGUGACAAUAUACUGGGGUAUUUUGGACUAUACAAAUGUCUAUUUAUUGUCACGGUGACAAUAUACUGGGGUAUUUUGGACUAUACAAAUGUCUGUAUUUAUUGUCACGGUGACAAUAUACUGGGCUGUUUUAGACUAUACAAAUGUCUGUAUUUAUUGUCAGGGUGACAAUAUACUGGGGUAUUUGGACUAUACAAAUGUCUGUAUUUAUUGUCACGGUGACAAUAUACUGGGCUGUUUUAGACUAUACAAAUGUCUGUAUCUAUUGUCAGGGUGACAAUAUACUGGGGUGUUUGGACUAUACAAAUGUCUAUUUAUUGUCAGGGUGACAAUAUACUGGGAUGUUUUAGACUAUAUAAAUGUCUAUUUAUUGUCACGGUGACAAUAUACUGGGGUAUUUGGACUAUACAAAUGUCUAUUUAUUGUCACGGUGACAAUAUACUGGGGUAUUUUGGACUAUACAAAUGUCUCUAUUUAUUGUCACGGUGACAAUAUACUGGGCUGUUUUAGACUGUACAAAUGUCUAUUUAUUGUCACGGUGACAAUAUACUGGGGUAUUUGGACUAUACAAAUGUCUAUUUAUUGUCACGGUGACAAUAUACUGGGGUAUUUUGGACUAUACAAAUGUCUCUAUUUAUUGUCACGGUGACAAUAUACUGGGCUGUUUUCGACUAUACAAAUGCCUGUAUUUAUUUUGAUUUUAAAUAUUUAUUCUAUGUUUUGUUUUCCUUCUUGGUUGUGCAAAUGUAGAUUCUUGUCAAGCUCAAUAUCAACCUAACCUCAUACCAAAUGGCUUAGUGUACAGAUAUAACUUCUACAGCAAAUGUGUUCAUUUUCUAGUCCACAGACUAACAGUGUAAAAUUUGACAUUCUUCUGUGGGUCUCCCAUAAAAUGUCCCAUUUCAUCUAUUUAUUUGUGACGUCAUGUUUGAUACUAGGUUUUAUUUUCGUAUGAUUGAUUUUAUCUUCAGCACAAUAACAAUGUUUUAAAACAUUUUCUACGUGUUUUAUACAGUUGACUGAUCAUUUCAGUGUUGAUUUAAACAAAAGUUAUCUUUUAAAUUUCCUUACAAUUUUCUCACUUAUUACACACAAUCGUUUCCUGUUCGUCAUGAUUUAAUAGUUUCUCUGUGAAUACCAAGAAGACUUAUAGAUUAAUACCUGGAAGACUUAUAAUUUUAUGAGGCACAUGUACACAUUCUGAUACCCAGUCAUUAAAAGGAGAUUUUAUAUCACAUGUUAAUGAGAGGUUUUAGUGACUGGCUUAUUUCAAAAUUAUUUCAAUUUUUUGAGGGGAAUUUAAAGGCACUUUGGAGUGAAUUAACUUUUUCAGGAGCCUUUCAGAUAAUUUUUCUAUAGUCAUCUAAGUUAAGAAAUAUACAUCUUUACUUUUGGCAAUAAUUAAAUGUCUAGAAGUGUUGUUAUGGAAAUUAAUGUGGAAAUUCUUGGAUUUUUUUUUUUUUUUUUUUUAAUAUUUACCUUUUAUUUAUUUAUUUGACUUACUGUCAUAUCAAAUCUGACACUUUAAAGUUCUAACUAUGCAUUCCACACACCCCUUUGACCUUUACAAUCAUUAGAAGCCUACAAAAUGUAGCUACAUAAUUAUGUAGGACACAAUGCCAAUUGACUGCUGGAAAUAUUUUAUGUCUUUCAAAUUUUAGCUGGUAUUUGAUUUCAUCUUUUCACAGAAAAACCAAAUUUACUGGGUUUUGGAUAUGUGUGUUUUUAUGUAGGGUACAUCUGAUUUACAUUGAAAUUUCUAUUCUGUAAGAAUCAUUUCGAUUUCCAUUUAUUUAUUUUUCAUUGCCUAUAAAUUCACUAUGCAAGUUUUCUGAAAUGUUAAUCAUUGUGCGAUGGCUCUGCUGCCAGUGAGCUUGUUAUGCCAGUGGUAAAUGAAGUUGUGAUUUGUUAAAAGUUGUUGAUCUGUUCAAUGUUGUUGAAUUAGAACUGCUGAAAUGAAAAUAAACUAUUUUUAUAUAC